GGAGUUUGGACCGUGUCUCAGUUCCAAUGUGGGGGACCUUCCUCUCAGAACCCCUACUGAUCGUUGGCCAGGUGGGCCGUUACCCCGCCUGCAACCUAAUCAGACGCAUCCCCAUCCCAUAGCGAUGAAUCUUUGCUCCAACUUAGAUGCCUGCAUUGGAGAACAUAGGGAAUUAAUCCGACUUUCGCCGGGCUAUUCCCUAGCAAGGGGAAGGUUGGAUACGCGUUACUCACCCGUGCGCCGGUCGCCAUCAAAGUUUGCAAGCAAACUUCAUGCUGCCCCUCGACUUGCAUGUGUUAAGCCUGUAGCUAGCGUUCAUC
Molecule: ribosomal RNA, 320 nt
Filed under: uncultured Prevotella sp.
Lineage: Bacteria; Pseudomonadati; Bacteroidota; Bacteroidia; Bacteroidales; Prevotellaceae
Description: partial 16S ribosomal RNA
Source: RNAcentral